AAAAAGAAUAACUACAUCACCAGAACGGAUCAUCACCCCUGACCUCUGAAUCAAAGAGAAGGUCAGGUGACUUAUCAGAAGCACCAGGAACAAACAGUCUGUGAAUCCCUCACAGUGAAGAUAAUCAGCGGUUGCAACCAGGACAGAUUAAGUAUCUUCUGCAAAUCACCAGUCCAUGCCUCCUUCACCUCAGCAGAGGGGGCUUGCAAUGUGUAGGUGUCCUCCAACUUUCUUCGGCGGAACCAGAUCUCGAAGCAGAGGCCACUGCCCCCUGAUGUGUGAUGAUGAACUCUCCCUGGCGCAGUAAACGUCCCUGCUCCUUCAGAUUUACCUGUGAAAACAUGGCGUGUUUUA
This is a long non-coding RNA of Bombina bombina (fire-bellied toad), 354 nucleotides long. RefSeq lists it as uncharacterized. The transcript has 3 exons. The record is from RefSeq and is a predicted model, not a curated record. NCBI's taxonomy places the organism in Eukaryota, Metazoa, Chordata, Amphibia, Anura, Bombinatoridae.